AUGGGACAUGGGAAUCUGUUAAACUAAUAAAAAAUGGAUCUAUGCAAUGUCUUCAAAUGAUUCUGCAUCAUGUAAAAAAACAUGUCUAAAAUUCUAGUUCAACAAGAUAAUAUGUUAGUAAAACUAGUUGUUGUUUUCUUUUAAAUAAAUUUUCUUCCAACAAGCACAUUUGCCAGUAGAACUAAACAUUCGUACAGGUCUUAAACGCAUCUCAAGAAAUGUAUCAAAAGUCACUUGCAGCAGGAGCACGCAGAAACAGGAGCCAGGUCAAGAAACAAGUCUUGUAAUUGGAGAUAACAGCAUUUACCGAAAUCUUGGGAAACAUCAUAGAAGGUAUGAUUUUUUUUAUUUACAUAUCAAACCUGUUGUUGCUUUCUGCUAAUAAGACAGGGAGGGUUGCUUUGUAAAGCAGUUCAUAUGAUGUGAUUUUUACACCCACAGCCCUAAGUGUCUGUUGUUCUAAUUACUACUCUGCAAUAAAAACAAUGCAGUAGAAAAGCUUAAAAUACUGUAGUGGUGUGCUAUGUUGAGUUAGUGUAGAGCUCCACUUGCUUUCUGAGUUAGGCUAAUCAGAUGCUAACUGUGCUGAGUGCACCGGGAGUUGAGGCUUCAUUUACAGCUUUGGCAGCUUAAAGUGCUACAAACAUGUAUAUACUAUAUUGGUUUUAAGGGUGUAAAUGUAUUUUUUAAUACCUGCUGUGAAUAACCUUAAGUGCUUUGCAUGUUUUGUUAAACAUAAUCAACAUUUACUCAACCAUAGACUUUGUACAUUUUGGCUUUUGAAAGCUGCUGCAAAAAUGUGUUUUAUUUAUAUUAAAAAUAUAUGAUAUGAUAUAAAUGAUAUUUAUAUGAAAGAGUUUAUUUCUGUUUUUAUAUUUAUGCAAUUGUUUUCUCUGCAGAUAAUGAUCAGCAAAACAAAGGAAGGAUGAGGGAAGGAAAGGAACUUGAUGCAGUGACCCUAAGAUCUCCAAGUGAGAACCAAGGAGAACCAUCAAAGCAGUCUGAGCAGGCAGGAAAAACUGGCAAAGAUCAGGAUGUGAAUAGACCAGCUAUUGAACCUACAUCUCAUCGACGGCUUUGGAGUAAGGCCGAAAAGGCAGCAGUAUGGCAACAGCUUUGCCAAUAUGUAACCUUAGAGAGUUCCUGGUAAAGAACCAUGUCUUGAGGCACUUAAAGUUGAGCCUGCACUGAGAAGCCAAACUUGGAAAGACAUAAAAAACAAGUUUACAAUACUAUUACUGUUCAAAAGCCGAAAAAACAUUCUACAUUGUUUGGUUAAAACUACAAAAGAAGUUGUAAGCAGUGCAUAUUUGGCAAUGGUCCUUUGCCUAGUGUUUGGACAGCAGCAAAAAUAUGUAUUUUUGUUCCAUAAACAAAUAAAAUAGUUUGUAUUUGGUCUCCA
Molecule: long non-coding RNA, 1402 nt
Organism: Fundulus heteroclitus (mummichog)
Lineage: Eukaryota; Metazoa; Chordata; Actinopteri; Cyprinodontiformes; Fundulidae
Exons: 3
Source: RefSeq, a predicted model, not a curated record